Gorilla gorilla gorilla (western lowland gorilla) is the source of this 400-nucleotide long non-coding RNA. RefSeq lists it as uncharacterized. NCBI's taxonomy places the organism in Eukaryota, Metazoa, Chordata, Mammalia, Primates, Hominidae. The record is from RefSeq and is a predicted model, not a curated record. The transcript is spliced from 3 exons.
CCUCACCAGGCAAAGGACACAAGGAUGAGGUGCAGCACAAUGAGGAGGAGUGGGGUCUACAACUCCCUCCUCUGCCAAUGGUUUUUGGUACUUGUAUUUGCUGAUGACACAAGAGGUGUGCAGAAAGGGCCAGGACCCCUCUGAACCGCAUGUCCCCACUAAGAAGCACCCAUAGCUCUUCCCCCUGCUCCCAGCUGAGAAUAGUACCUGGAUAAUGCAAGAACUAAAUGAAAAACUGAAGAAGGGAGGAGCCAGCACUGGCCCAGGGAAACUUGGAGCAACAGACUACAGGUGCCCAAGCAAUAGAUCCAGUCCUCGGCCCUCACUCUCCCCUUCUUGGCCAGCUGAAAGCUGAAGAUCAUGACCUGAAGAUUUCUUCUUCUAAAUGUGAUGCACAGCU